Molecule: RNA transcript, 3874 nt
Organism: Haliaeetus leucocephalus (bald eagle)
Lineage: Eukaryota; Metazoa; Chordata; Aves; Accipitriformes; Accipitridae
Gene: PRPF18
Gene name: pre-mRNA processing factor 18
Exons: 11
Source: RefSeq, a predicted model, not a curated record
CAUUUCCGGCGGCAGCAUGGAUAUCCUGAAGCGGGAGAUCAGCCGUAAGCGGCAGCAGCUGGAGGAGAAGGAGCUUGUGGGGGGAAAUAAGAAAUAUUUCAAACGCAGUGAGUUAGCUAAAAAAGAGGAGGAGGCCUACUUUCAGAGAUGUGGCUACAAGGUACAGCAGCAAGAGGAGGAGGAGAAGCCACUGACUUCAUCGAAUCCAGUGCUGGAACUCGAACUGGCAGAAGAAAAGUUACCAAUGACCCUUUCCAGACAGGAGGUUAUCAGGAGGUUACGAGAGAGAGGUGAGCCGAUCAGACUGUUUGGAGAAACAGAUUAUGAUGCAUUUCAGCGUCUGAGGAAGAUAGAAAUUCUUGCACCUGAAGUGAACAAGGGCCUGAGAAACGACCUGAAGGCUGCUUUGGAUAAGAUUGACCAGCAGUAUCUGAACGAAAUUGUAGGAGGCCAAGAAGCAGGAGACGAUGACUCACAGAAUGACUUGAAAGUCCAUGAGGAGAAUACUACUAUUGAAGAACUAGAAGCUUUGGGAGAAUCCUUAGGACGGGGUGAUGAUCACUAUGAUAUGGACAUCAUAACGAAAUUUUUGAAGUUUCUUCUUGGAGUUUGGGCUAAGGAGCUGAAUGCCAGAGAAGACUACGUGAAGCGGGGAGUACAGGGGAAGCUGAACAGUGCCACUCAAAAGCAGACGGAAUCGUACCUGAGGCCACUCUUCAGAAAACUUCGGAAAAGGACACUUCCUGCCGACAUCAAAGAAUCAAUAACAGAUAUUAUUAAAUUCAUGCUGCAAAGAGAAUAUGUGAAGGCAAAUGAUGCCUAUCUUCAGAUGGCUAUUGGAAAUGCUCCCUGGCCUAUUGGUGUCACUAUGGUUGGCAUCCACGCUCGAACGGGUCGUGAAAAGAUUUUCUCCAAGCACGUAGCCCACGUUCUCAACGAUGAAACUCAAAGGAAGUAUAUUCAGGGGCUGAAGAGGCUCAUGACCAUUUGCCAGAAGCACUUCCCAACAGACCCAUCGAAAUGUGUGGAGUACAACGCUUUAUGAGGCUCUGCAGUGUCCAAGGCGUGACUCAUAUUUUGAUCUCCAAGACCCAGAAAGGAAUGGAGAGACAGAGUUUGUGCUUUACCACCAAGAGGAACCUAGGUUUCAAUAUAAACCUUCUGGGCUUGGGGGAAGUAAUCGUAUGGCUCUUGAGGCUUUCAAAUCCCAUUUUUAUACAUCUGGAGAAAAUUUCAGUCUGCUGGGCAUUGCAGAGAAAAUAAUUAGGACCUCCCGUGACCACAGACAGUAAUUCUUGCAGCCACAAAUCUUUACCGUUGUGCAUCUUGACUGGGAAUGGCGAAGAAACUCAUAGAAAUGAUGAUGUCUAAUUCUGCAUUAACAAUGAAAUAUUGAAACUUUGUUAGUGGUGCAGGUUGAAAGUCUUAGGCUGAAAUAAUGUGCUUUUUUUAAUUACAAGAACAGCAGUACCUCUACAACACUACUAACGGGUUCUUCUCUUAAGGAGGCCUUUCUAGAACCUACAGUGAAGCUCCAAACAAGCUGUUGAUCAUUGCAGCGGCUGCUAAUAACCGCCACUACCCAUAUUUGUGAGAAUGCCGCCCUCGCGUGCGUCUGGCCCCACAGAUCCUGCGGAGCCGACACAGAGCGCACUCCUCUGCCCCUGGAGAAGCCUCUUGUGUGGAGUCAGUGGAGAGGGGAGGCUCUGGUCCUGGCUGCUGGGGUUGGAUUCAGGCAGGUAUUUGAGUCUGGUAUCUCACUACCAUGAGGCAGCAGGUCAUCUGAUAGAUCUGGCACUCGUGAGCUGUGGACCUGUAACCGUUGAGCUGCCACAGCAGUAGAGCUGGUACGGUGUGAGCAGAGCCACUUCCUGAAGAAACGUGUCAAUAUUCAAGUGUAUUGGUUUGUCCGAGUCCUCACCUCGACUGGAAGCGCAGAGCAGGAACCAGUGCCCUCUUCUGAAGGAGUUACCUGUCUCCAUGGGUAUUUACAGUGUCCCGUGGCACAGUGAGACAUGGUGCUGGGGGAUUUGUGCUGGCAGUGAGCUCGGACGAGUAUCUCAAGGAACUUCAGGUUCUUCUGGAGACUCUCCGGAUUCUGAAGCGCCUCUUUGGACAUGGGAGUUUUUCAAUCUGGAAUGUCUGACCCCAGAGAAAAUGUCAAGAGCUUAAAUGGUUAAGAAGUACUAAAAAUGAGGCUGACAAGACCUAACCGGCACUUGGGGAGGGGCCUGCGGGGAAUACACAGGGAUUUGUGGGGAGAAGCUGGGCAGAUGUCAAGAGCACGGAAGAGUUUCAUUAACAGUGGUGUCUGGUGAUUUUUGUGCAGUGCUCUAUACAGGUAUUCUUCAGAGGCAUUAUUACAACAGGAAACAUUUAUAACACCGCAACUUUAUCCCUCUCCCCACCCAGAUGAUUUCCUGAGCUGUUUCUAAAUCUUCGUCCUGACCUUAGUUUUGAACUCUUUAAAUAAUUGAGGGACAAUAUUGUCCCUCAUCUAGAAGGGCUAUUAUUUCCCUGGAAAGUGCAGCAAGUGAGUAACCAGGGGAUGGCUUAAGGAGCACAGUAACAUCUGCUUUGGAGGGAACUGGAUUCCUUAGGGCAUCUGUAAUAGUAUUAGAUAGAUUUUUCCCUCCCGCUUUAGAACUUAUUAUUGAGGAGAGUUUUAAUGGUACCCUGAGUACCGGUUUGAGUGGGGAUGCGCCUCCUGUAGGGAUGUGAAUUUGGGAUUGGAAUGUUUUAGUCUGAUCAGGUUUUAAAGAACGUAAUUUAAGCAAUGUGCCUCUUUGCUGACAGUCCCUGAAAUACAGCUGCCUUGCUUGAAUGAAUCCCAUGACGGAAGAACUUUAUCCCCUUGCAAUUCGUGGAAUGGCGCUGCACGGGGAACUGAGGAACUGAAAAGUACUUUCUCACGGCAUAUCUGUGUAAGAGUUUCCAGCUGUCCGGCACGUGAGAGCCAGCUUCGGUCCUCGGGAGAUCGCAAGCUGGGGGGGACACUGUUACGGCAGCUGCUUUUCAUCAUCGAUUGGAGGCUCUUUGCAGCUGGAUGGCCCCAAAUUACAGCUACCAGACCGUGAUCAAAUAGUUAAUAAUGCCUUUUAGCCAAAAAAAUCCAAAACCCACCCGAGUCUAGUUUAGGGACGAGUGGGUGUGGCACAGCUGUCAUGCUGCUUGACGAUUUUUGUGGGGAUGGUAUGUUUCAGUUUAGUGAUUUAGACUUUUUCCUCUGGGCUUCUCCAGAUGUUUAUUUCUGAUAAUUCUUGCGUUAGGCGGAAAUAACUCCUCUGAAUCCAAAGACUCGUAGCCUUGGGAUGAAGUCAUGUGUUCACCAUAGCGAUGUCUGGAGCGGUUUUUGGACUUCAGUGCCCCUGGUCACCGUUUGUUGUGAGGCUGUGCGAGGUGGUGCUCUCAAAGUACGUGACGUCUGCCUUACAUGGGUGCUGUCGUGCCUGAUGGUAGUUAAAUGCCUUUAAUUCCUCGUUUGCUAUUUGUCUAUACUGCCGGAAAGGCUCUUAGGGUAGAUGUAUGUGAGAGGAAUUUAUUUUGAUUGGGGACCUGGGUUCCUCUCCUGCUAGCUGCCGUUACUGUCUCCGUUAUAGAUCCAGUCUUGCCCAAAGAAUGGACGAUGGUUGAGAUGUAAAUGGCUUCACCCCUCGGGGGGAGGAGAGCCCCCCCACUCCCAGCCCCGGGGAUGGGUACGUGGCGCCCUCCACGAAGGCUGGCGCAGGGCUGUCGGCGCCGGUGUGGGAUCUGGAGCGGGCUGUUGGCUCCUGAUGUGUUGCAGAGGUUGAAGAGGUGCCUGCAGCAGUAUCGGAGCCACUGGCAAUAAAUCCAAGCUAAAGUCCCGGAGUUAGGGGGACGGCUGAAAAAUUUC